RNAcentral lists this long non-coding RNA (848 nucleotides) under Ananas comosus (pineapple). RNAcentral describes it as "long non-coding RNA (ACOM_LNC031029)". Lineage: Eukaryota; Viridiplantae; Streptophyta; Magnoliopsida; Poales; Bromeliaceae. The record is from RNAcentral.
AGAAGGCGCAUUAUAUAUAUAGGCCAUGGCUUCUAUACUAUUAUGAGUAUUGGAGCCCUCGUACUCAUAAGUUGUUUUCAGUGAUGAAGCUUCCGAAUCGACGAUCCACUCCGUUAAAUAUGAUCUAGAGUAUUUGAAACUUCUAGAAAAUAUAUUUCGUAAAUUUUCGAAAUCAUAAUAAAGUCCAUCAAGUGAGCAUAAAAUGAACGGUCAAAAUCGAACGACGUCCUAAAAAAGAAUGAUCGGAUCCUUCAAUUUAAGAUCAGAGUUAUUGAUUUUUAUCUAUGUAGUGAAUAGAAUUUUCUAUCAAAAAUUCAACAAAUUCCGAUUCUUUUACACCGUUAAACUAGCAAGUAUCCCAUACCGGCCGUUAAAAAUUGUCAAAUUUGUGACCUCUUGAUCGUAAGGUAAAUGAUGUUGAAAAUUAUAAAAUUUGAUUUCUAGAAGUUUUAAAUACUGUAAAUAACAUUUAAUGGUGUGGAUCGUCGAUUCAGAAGCUCUAUCAUCGAAAACAACUUAUGAGUACGAGGGCGAUCAUACUCAUAAUAGUAUAGUAGCCGGACCCUAUAUAUAUAUAUAUAUAUAUUAACAAUAGAAUUAGGCUAGAAUACUAUCAAUAGGACCAAGUUAUUGGUGCUAUUAGUUUUUUAGCUUUUGGAUUGAAAAAUGUGCGGUUAGGAUGAUGUGGGCCCCCUAGAGUUGAGUGAAUAGUUGACUGAAUAUUAUAAUCUAACGGAUAAAAAAAUUAAAGGGUUAAAUCUAACGGUAGAAAAUUCGAUAGCACAAAAUUCUUGGUGCUAUCGAUAGUAUCCCAGCCGGACUCUUAACAAUAAUUUUGUUGAGAGUUU